RNAcentral lists this transfer RNA (74 nucleotides) under Coscinodiscus radiatus. Its description in RNAcentral is "tRNA-Asp". It matches the Rfam family "tRNA". From Rfam's summary of the family: Transfer RNA (tRNA) molecules are approximately 80 nucleotides in length. Their secondary structure includes four short double-helical elements and three loops (D, anti-codon, and T loops). The record is from RNAcentral. Lineage: Eukaryota; Bacillariophyta; Coscinodiscophyceae; Coscinodiscales; Coscinodiscaceae. RNAcentral also lists the same sequence under 1 other name.
GGGAUUGUAGCUCAAUUGGUUAGAGUAUCGCCCUGUCACGGCGGAAGUUGCGAGUUCGAGUCUCGUCAGUCCCG